Cervus elaphus (red deer) is the source of this 1555-nucleotide long non-coding RNA. RefSeq lists it as uncharacterized. The record is from RefSeq and is a predicted model, not a curated record. The transcript is spliced from 4 exons. NCBI's taxonomy places the organism in Eukaryota, Metazoa, Chordata, Mammalia, Artiodactyla, Cervidae.
CGGCGGGAGGCGGGGCCGCGAGCCAGGCGCGUCCCAGGACCUGCAGUCGGAGACCCAGGCCGGCCGCCGGGGCGCCGGGCGGAGCUCACAGAUUGAGCCAAAGCCACUGACCCUGGGGAUGCUCAUGGGGAGGGAACCCUGGAGCCAGCCCACCCGUGUGAAAAUCCUGCCUCUGCCACUGUCUGCUUGACCUUGGUUGCAUCACUGAGAAGGGAGCUGCCAUAGACCGCUCAAGGAAGAGGAAGGCCAUGCCUGGAAUACAGACUGCAAUCCCGCACUCCUGCUGCCGUGGGUAGUGGAGGAAGAUGCUGUGGAAGAUGUUGCGAGGCCGGAAGACCUCCUUGGGGAAGACGUCAAGGAGCAGGUUGUAGACAGACAGGUCCCGCUCGACGCCGUACUCGCGCAUCUUGCGCAGGGCCAGGUAGAUGAAGUCCACGUGGCCACGCUUGUGCACGUUGUACUCGGCAAAGUUCUGCACCGCCCGCACGAAGUUCGCCUUGUCUCGUGUCCCAUCCAGCGCCGGCCUAAACAGCUCUUCGUGGACUGCCAGGGCCUUGACGGGCCGCCUGGGGGGCUCGGGUGGGCGUGGGACCAGCGACGAGUCAGGGUUGUGGGCGGCUGCACUGCAGCGGAGGCCCCGUGGGGCCUGGGGUGGCACCUGCAGACGGAGAACCACCGCUGGAACCUGGCGCCUCCUGGUGCCCCUGGAGGACUGCCCAGCCGGCUCUUUGCUAGGAGAGGUGCCAGCGGGCAUCCCUAAUGGCCUCUGAAGAACUGUGGUGCCCUGGUUACAGACCCAUGACCAGGCGCCAUCACAGAGUUAUCAGUUACCAUAGCCAGAUAGCUAUGGUAACAUCCCCGUGGAGGCAGUGUUCACCACGGAGAGGAACAAACACCCUCUGACACAGCAGUCUUGCAUCUGGUAUUUAAAUACGACCGCUCUAAACAUAUCUGCCUCAGAUGACAUUUGUGCAUCGGCUGCAUCAGUAGAAAUGGGCCAAAGGUGCAUCAGCAAGGAAAAAAUUAAGUGUCCUUGCUGAACCUCGAGUGCAAAGGUGAGUAGAAGUGGCCAGAGUGCACGUCCUUGUCUUGUUCCUGGUCUUAGGGGGAAAGCAUCCAGUCUUUCAUCAUUAACUAUGAUGUCAGCCAUUGGAUUGUCCACAGAUGACCUAUUGGGUUGAGGAUAUUCCUUUCUAUUACUAGACGCUGAGUAUUUUUAUCAGAAAGGGCAUUCAUUAUAUUUUGUCAAAUGAUUUUUUUUUGGCAUCUAUUGAACUCACGUGAAUUUUGUCCUUUAGUCUAUUAAUAUCAUGUAUUACAUUAAUUUUCAACUGUUAAAUUCAUAUUGCAUUUCUCUGAUAAAGUCCACUUGGUCAUGCUGUUUAAUUCUUUUUAUUUGCUGCUAGAUUGGGAUGCAAGUAUUUUGUUGAGGACUUUUGCAUCCAUAUUCAUAAGAGAACCUGGGCUAGAGUUUUCAUUUCAUGUCAUAUCUGUUUGCUUUGGUAUCAGGGUAAUGCUGGCCUCAUAAAAUGAGCUGGGAAGUAUUUGGCUCACU